RNAcentral lists this ribosomal RNA (433 nucleotides) under uncultured bacterium. Its description in RNAcentral is "partial 16S ribosomal RNA". It matches the Rfam family "Bacterial small subunit ribosomal RNA", at positions 29 to 507 of the family's 1533-position model. The record is from RNAcentral.
AACGAACGCUGGCGGCAUGCCUAACACAUGCAAGUCGAACGAGACCUUCGGGUCUAGUGGCGCACGGGUGCGUAACGCGUGGGAACCUGCCCUUAGGUUCGGAAUAACUCCCCGAAAGGGGUGCUAAUACCGGAUAAUGUCUUCGGACCAAAGAUUUAUCGCCUUUGGAUGGGCCCGCGUUGGAUUAGCUAGUUGGUAGGGUAAAAGCCUACCAAAGCGACGAUCCAUAGCUGGUCUGAGAGGAUGAUCAGCCACACUGGGACUGAGACACGGCCCAGACUCCUACGGGAGGCAGCAGUGGGGAAUAUUGGACAAUGGGCGAAAGCCUGAUCCAGCAAUGCCGCGUGAGUGAUGAAGGCCUUAGGGUUGUAAAGCUCUUUUACCCGGGAUGAUAAUGACAGUACCGGGAGAAUAAGCGCCGGCUAACUCCGUG